Molecule: long non-coding RNA, 1619 nt
Organism: Rosa chinensis
Lineage: Eukaryota; Viridiplantae; Streptophyta; Magnoliopsida; Rosales; Rosaceae
Exons: 7
Source: RefSeq, a predicted model, not a curated record
UCCUCCCGAUCUUUCCUCCCUGUUAAUCUCAUUGCAUUAUCUUCUUCAGUUUCCUCAGGUUGAACCAGAUGCUGGAGAUAAAAUUCCUCAUAGAAAAAAAUUCACGGUCUUUUUCACUCUCACUCUCUCGAGAUCUCAAACAAUUUUGAUCGGUUUCUUCCGCCAUGAUCCGUUGAAACACGUCGCCGUCGGCGAGAAUGGAAGGAAUCUAACGUCUCCGGCGAAGAUGCCUUCGCCGUGAUCUGCAACAAGUACGACCGAUACGGCAUCGACAAGUAGAAGGACUCUAAUGUCUCCGGCGACGAUGCCUUCACUCGCCUCUACUCUGCCGUCGAGUUCGACAUUGAAGCUGCUCUUCAGAAAGCGGAGCUUGCUUCAAAAGAGAAAAGUAGGGCAUUUGCAGUUGCUCUGAAUGCCGUGAUUCGCCGAACCAAGGCUCGAUUGCUUAAAGAGGUUCCCAAGUUGCAGAGAUUGGCUGUAAAGAAGAUUCAUAGAAGAAAGGUACGGGCAUGGCAAAUGAUAUGUAUUUUGUCACAUUUCGUCCGUCAAGAUAUAAGAGAUAAUACGUGUGCUUGAACCCUUGCCCACGGAUCGAGAAACACAAUGGCAAAUUCUUCGGGAGUUACAAGGAGCUGUUGAGUCUGUAGAGAGCUUAAGAGGUGCAACUGUGGAGCCAUUUGGAUCAUUUGUCUCAGAACUCUUUACUCGCUGGGGAGACUUGGAUGUUUCAAUUGAGUUCUCAAAAGGCGCAUAUAUUUCUUCUUAUGGAAGAAAGCACACACAAGAUGUACUAAAAGAUUUUAUGAAGGCUAUGAGAAAGAGAGGUGGAUGGAACAGGUACCAAUUCAUACCUAAUGCAAGAGUUCCCAUUCUGAUGGUCAAAAGUAAUCUUGGAAACAUCUCCUGUGAUAUUUCAGUCAAUAACCUGAAGGGCCAAAUGAAAUCAAAACUCUUUUUAUGGAUGAAUGAUAUAGAUCCACGCUUUCGUGAUAUGGUUUUACUGGUGAAGGAAUGGGCAAAACACACAAUAUCAAUAAUUCAAAAACUGGGACUUUCAAUUCAUACUCUCUGAGUUUGCUCGUGAUCUUCCAUUUUUAGACAUGUACACCUGCAAUUCUGCCUCCUCUUCAAGACAUAUAUACAGAAACUCUCACGGAUGAUCUUAAAGGUACUUUUCAGCCUUACCUUAAACAGAGACCUCAUUUUGCCACUAACUGUUGGUAAAAAUUGAAUAAUUUUUUUUUCUUUUAGAAUAGUUUCUGAAAUUGAUUUUUCUUUGAAGAUAUGGUACUGGUUCUUUGUUUGAAAUAAUGGAGUUUAAGUUAGCUCUACACAGCAUCAAAGCAAAGGAACUCCCUUUUACGAAGCAAAGAUAUGAGGAAGAAAACUAUAGUUUCAAUCUUUCAAUUGCCAAGUGUCCUUUUUUCAACUCGAGAGCAUGUUAAUUGCUUGAGCGGUGAUAUGUAACAGUUUAGGUAUCCAAUGAAUGAAGUUUAGUUCCAUUUUGAGUUGUAAAAAAAGGUUGUUCUUGUUUAAAGUUGUGUUUAGAAUUCAAAAACAACUUCAUUUAUUAAGAUUUGAAGCCACUAAUAGAAUCUGCCCAUACAAGUUGCCCUUUC